UGCUAGUCCGAGAUCGCGGUCCUAGAAGGACUGAUUUCUGGUGAGGCCUCUUUUCCGGGCUUCCAGAUGGCCCCCUCUUGCUGUGUCCCCACCUGGCUGUGGAAAGAAGGAGGAAGAAUGUUCGAGGCAGAGAGUAACUCAGAAGUGUAAUGCGGCCUGGCUGUAUGGGCACUAAAGGUGACUCCAGGUGGACAUUCCCUUGUUCCAGUACCAUCUGUGGAAUCCUUUCUCCAUUAAACUGAUUGGUGCCGUGGACCCCAUUUGCGUGGGUCUCUUUUUGGUUUGGAUUCUGUUCCAUCAAUCCGCAUCUCCAGUUUUUGAACAACUGCAUACCACCUUAUCACUGCAGCUUCCCACACGUGUCCAGAUUAGGUCGUGUGAGUCCGUCGGCCUUCUUCUUCAGUACUGUGUUGGUGUCGUAUGGCCUUUGCCCUUUCACAUAGAAUCGAUCUGUGGAUAUUUAUAAAAUCGCUUGUGGUGCUUUUGAUUGGUGCUGUGUUAAAUUUACAAAUCAAACUGAGAAUAGCCAACAUCUUGACAAUAUCAGAUCUAAUCCCAGCCAUGAAACACCUCCCCAUCUGUUAAGGUCUUCAUGUGAUGGUCUUCAUUGGCGCCUGCAGCUUUCCACGUACAGAUCCUGUACACGCUUUAAGUUAGACCUAUCAAAUUUGUGCCUGACCUUGUUUUGGUGCAACUGUAAAUUAUUUUUUUGGGCAUCAUAUUUUUAAUUGCAAAUACCAAUUGCUCAUCACUGGCAUAUGGAUUGUAUGUUAAUCUUGUACUCGUAGCCCUGUUAUAAACUGCUUAUGUGGAAGGGGUCAGGGAUGUGAUGUAGCCUUCAAUGACAUGCCCCAGUGACCUAAUUCCCCCAAGUAGGACCCACUUAGAGUUUUCACCACCUCCCAAUAAUGCCAUCGAAUCUAUCAAUGGGUUAAUCCACUGAUGAGGCAGAUCCUCACAAUCCACUCACUUCCCCAGAACCCCACUUCUGUACACUGCUGCCCUGGGGACCAAGCCUUCAACACAAGAGCCUCUGGGGACAGUCCAGAUGCAAACGUAAUAGAGUUCCUGCCACUUUGUGGCUCCAGAAGCUUCUGCCCCAGGUAAGUAGACCUCAGGUGUUCUCUCUCUCUCUCUCUCUCUCUCUCUCUCUCUCUCUCUAGAUUUCAGGAGGUGGGUUUUUCUCUGUGAUUGCAGUUCUCUGCUAGAUCCAAGAACGGUUGCUAGUUUCAGGUUUUCUUGUGGUAAGGAGAGGGAUGCCCUGCAAGCUCUUCUUGUGUCAGAGCUGACACUGGAAUUCAAUGCCUCCUCAAUAAUGGUCAUUUUACCUACUUCUCUGAUGGACAGUUGAGUGGCACAUGAGAAGCUGGCCUGGAUACCAGUCUUGACCCUUUAGGGGGCUAAUAUUUAUCUUAUAUGCUUGGGAUCAUCUAAGUGUUCCCCAUAAACCUCUCUGGAAACCCCCUCAUCCCUGCCCCCCCACAAUUGAUUCUUUCCUCUGAUUUUACAGAGUACAGACUGACAUUCAUGGAAUUCUACCCCAUAAGCAUGGGCGGACUUAGAACUAUCACUGUAAGUCAAAGUCAUGCGGAAUGCACUGAGAUGUUGAGUUAUAUUUGUGAUUACAGGUCUCUAGAUGAGAGGGAUACAGAGAGAAUUCAAAUAUAAUGGAGCCACAAAUGGGUUGGUUGAAUCAAAUCAAGGACCUGGGCAAGCUGAGAAGGAGUGGAUGGCUGCUCAGUGGCCCUGGAGCUAGUGCUGAGGGACAUGGGGCUUGGAGGAUGACAGCCCCAGCUGAAGAGCUUCGACACAGCAAGCACAGAACAGGAGGGAGUGGGUUUCCAAAACCAAAGCCAGUCAGUGACCCCAUACUGGGUUUCCCAGGCUGUGCACUGAGAAGAUGUCCCUAGAGAUGCUCUGGAAGCUGUCCCUCAAACUGUUUAAGAUGCCAAGUGUCCCAGUAGAAAAGAGUGGCAAUUUAGUACAGAGAUGUUUAGAGAAGAUCCCAAUUAUGAAUUUUCAUGCUAAGACACCUGUGAAGUUUAACCCUUUUUAAUAAUUAUAAAAUAAAUUAGCUGAUCAUACCAGAUUCCUAAUUCUAAGUUAAAUGCUUAACUGACAAUUGACUAAGACUGGUGAAACUAAACGGGACUUUUACUAAGUUUAGACUCAGUAAUGUGAUAUUUAAGAAAUGAGAAGAGGGCUGGGGAUGUGG
Ictidomys tridecemlineatus (thirteen-lined ground squirrel) is the source of this 2215-nucleotide non-coding RNA. The record is from RefSeq and is a predicted model, not a curated record. Lineage: Eukaryota; Metazoa; Chordata; Mammalia; Rodentia; Sciuridae.